Molecule: ribosomal RNA, 506 nt
Filed under: uncultured bacterium
Lineage: Bacteria
Description: partial 16S ribosomal RNA
Rfam family: Bacterial small subunit ribosomal RNA
Source: RNAcentral
AGUGAACGCUGGCGGUAGGCCUAACACAUGCAAGUCGAACGGCAGCACAGGAGAGCUUGCUCUCUGGGUGGCGAGUGGCGGACGGGUGAGGAAUACAUCGGAAUCUACUCUGUCGUGGGGGAUAACGUAGGGAAACUUACGCUAAUACCGCAUACGACCUACGGGUGAAAGCAGGGGACCUUCGGGCCUUGCGCGAUUGAAUGAGCCGAUGUCGGAUUAGCUAGUUGGCGGGGUAAAGGCCCACCAAGGCGACGAUCCGUAGCUGGUCUGAGAGGAUGAUCAUCCACACUGGAACUGAGACACGGUCCAGACUCCUACGGGAGGCAGCAGUGGGGAAUAUUGGACAGUGGGCGCAAGCCUGAUCCAGCCAUACCGCGUGGGUGAAGAAGGCCUUCGGGUUGUAAAGCCCUUUUGUUGGGAAAGAAAUCCAGCUGGCUAAUACCCGGUUGGGAUGACGGUACCCAAAGAAUAAGCACCGGCUAACUUCGUGCCAGCCGCCGCGGUAA